RNAcentral lists this ribosomal RNA (464 nucleotides) under uncultured bacterium. RNAcentral's name for it is "partial 16S ribosomal RNA". It matches the Rfam family "Bacterial small subunit ribosomal RNA", at positions 28 to 507 of the family's 1533-position model. The record is from RNAcentral.
GACGAACGCUGGCGGCGUGCUUAACACAUGCCAGUCGAACGGUAAGGCCCUACUUUUCUGGGGUACUCGAGUGGCGAACGGGUGAGUAACACGUGAGUGACCUGCCCUGCACUUUGGGAUAACUUCAGGAAACUGGGUCUAAUACCGGAUACGAGCGCCUGCUGCGGGGGGGGUGUUGAGUUUUUCGGUGGGGGAUGGGUGUGCGGCCGAUUAGCUUGUUGGUGGGGUAAUGGCUUACCAAGGCGGCGACGGGUAGCCGGCCUGAGAGGGUGGACGGCCACAUUGGGACUGAGAAACGGCCCAGACUCCUACGGGAGGCAGCAGUGGGGAAUAUUGCACAAUGGGCGGAAGCCUGAUGCAGCAACGCCGCGUGGGGGAUGACGGCCUUCGGGUUGUAAACUGCUUUCACCUGAGACGAAGGUUGAGUGACGGUAAAGGGAGAAGAAGCACCGGCUAACUACGUG